Long non-coding RNA from Astatotilapia calliptera (eastern happy), 1325 nucleotides. The record is from Ensembl. Lineage: Eukaryota; Metazoa; Chordata; Actinopteri; Cichliformes; Cichlidae.
UAAUGCUUGAAAUAUUUUAUUUAUCAAAACCAACAGACUGAUUUUUUUAAAUAAAACAACAGAAAAAGACAAUAAAUUAUUUAGGUAAAGCAUACAGUUUUGUCUUUAAUAUAUUUUGAAUGGAGCAACAGAGGUUGACUUUUGUUCGUUAAAACAGACAUCAACAGCUUUUCUCUGAGUUAAAACUACUUAGCCACCUGUUGAAAUUCUGGGAAGGGAAACUGAAACAAAUCUCUUUGAAAGGUACGAUACUCUCAAAUGUUCCCAAAGGCCCUCUGUUUGUGUUUGACCUAAGAAACUAGUUAAAGUUUUACGCUGAGAUACAUGAGAAAACAAAACAGCUACAUGGAAAAAAGAGCAUGUCACUGGUGCAUGCAACAGUGGAAUGUGCUGAUAACAGCAGCAAACUGGCAGACACAGGAUGCACACGCUCACACACACACACACACACACACACACACACACACACACACACACACACACACACACACACACACACGGGUGCACAACCACAGGUCCUGCUACGUUUAUAAUACAUCAAUUUGCAUGUAAAAACUAUUCCUUUAUUUUAUAUGCAUGGUCCAGAAACUGCAGCAGCCGAUGUCCUUAUGCACUCUAAAAAAACAAACCUCACUACUGUUGGUUUUAAAGAUUCUGCUUAAGUUGGAUUUAUUGGAGAAAGUUAACUUGAGUCCCUUGUGUUACUUCAACACAAUACUAUGCAUUUAAAAACGUUUUAGCCUAAAAUGUUGACCUGGCAAAACACAGCAUUUUGUUGAAAUAACAUAAAUGACUUGAGUCAUUGUGUGUUGACCACACAGCAUGAAGUUAACUUGCAGAAUGUGAUGUCUCUGAUAUGCUGAUUAGUGAUGGUGAUGACUCUAAGCAGAGUCAAUGAGAACCCAAUGAGAAGCGAUAAGAAAAACACUUUUCUGAGUGUACCAAAAGUCUAAUAAUGAAAUAACACAUAGAAAUUAAAAAAUAUUUAUUAGCGAUUCAGAGAUGAUUUGGCUUUUGUUUAAAAAAAAUCAUAAUUUACGUUUAGAUGUUUGUUCUGUAAAGUAUCUGUAGUCCCUUCUAGUCCCUUCUACAUACACCUGUACACUUUUCCAGCAGAGCGCCUCAGAAAUCUGUCAUUUUACCUAAACUUACCCAGAUUUGUCAUCUAUUAAUAAUAAUUCAGUGUUACAAUGUGAGCGUUUCAUUUAAUUUCUAGCUUUGCUGCUUUGACUCUCCAUUAAACCGACAGCUACACACACAUGCACACACAGUCACAUGCUGAGCAUUCACAUGCUUGGAUCCGCUGCCAGCUCUUACAGACUGUU